UCAAAGCAUGUGUAUGAGAUUGAUUUAGAAUCAACUUAAAGAUACUUAUAUUCCAUUACAUGAAAGCUUGAUGCUUGAAACAAAAUAUUCAGAUCACUUGGUGAUAGCAUACAUUGGCUUUAAAAGACGGAUUAUAUUAGCAUAGAUGAAUGGUGUAUAUAGUGCUUGCCCGUUAACCAUUGCUCGAGUCUUGUACCUGCCAUCGGCAGAAAGGAAAGAAGCUACGACCCAGGCGGAGGAACAACCUAGCCGCACACUACAGACAGGAUCAGAGGCCUAUAGAGGAACAAAAAGAAUCAAGCGACUGUGUAUAAAACAAUAAGAUGGUACACUUUAUUAAUUAUUUUUCUAGCUGUUUUUCCUUUAUCAACAAGCAGCACGUAUUAGUUGGGUAAGCAAUAACCAGGUGGUACACUUGAUAUUGGAACCCCCAUACAUUUAUUAUCUCUAUUCAUUCAAAGAACUAACCCGAGCAGGCAUUGCAAGACUAUUAAGAAUCCGUAUGAAACUAAGAAAAGUGGGCAUCCUCUAUAAACAUGGAUAUCGACCAAUGGCAUAUGAGCACACAAUCACCCAGGAAGAAAACCACCAGGACAAGCAUAAGUAAACAAGAACACAUUUUUUCUAACAAGAUAUGAAGGAAAACCCAUACAAAGCACGGCAAACAUAAUAGGUGAACCGUGAAACACAUAGACAUGCAACCUAGCCGCACCAAUGCAGGAGUUCAUGGCCUAUAUUAUCAAGAAGUAAUAAGCCAAGGCAAUCUGAGCAGAUCUAACCUUGUUGGUUAACAGCAUGGUCGAAUGAACCAACAAAGAACCUGCACAGGCAGAGAAACAUGCAACGCAAAAUGUUUCAGCUCACAGGCAUUUCAUCGAACAGGAGGCGG
RNAcentral lists this long non-coding RNA (889 nucleotides) under Triticum aestivum (bread wheat). RNAcentral's name for it is "long non-coding RNA (TAES_LNC010748)". Lineage: Eukaryota; Viridiplantae; Streptophyta; Magnoliopsida; Poales; Poaceae. The record is from RNAcentral.